AUGGCAAGGACACCGAGGACGACAUUUUUACACCUUGUCCUAACCCUCUGCUGCAUCCUCUGGGGUCAAAACACGCCCUCUUUAGCUUCCACUGCAACUGCAAUCGAUGAAUUCCUUGGCUGCCUCUCCGCGGACAUCCCGUCUGGCCUCAUCCAUACCCCGGCAACCCCGGCCUACUCUGCCCUCCUGCUGUCCACCGCCCGGAACCUCCGCUACAUCCUGCCGGACACCUCCAAGCCUCUAGCGAUCAUCGCGGCCACCGAGCACGCCCACGUGCAGACCACUGUGCGCUGCGGCCGCCGCCACGGCGUCCGCGUCCGCGUGCGCAGCGGCGGCCACGACUACGAGGGCCUGUCCUACGCCUCCGUCCACCUCCACAAGUACAACGAGCCGUUCGCGGUGCUGGACCUCGCCGCUCUCCGGGCCAUCCACGUCGACCCGGCACGUGCUGAGGCGUGGGUCGAGUCCGGCGCCACCGUCGGCGAGCUCUACUACGCCGUCGGCGCCGCCAGCCACUCGCUGGGGUUCCCGGCGGGCUCUUGCCCCACCAUGGGCAUCGGCGGCCACCUUAGCGGUGGCGGGUUUGGCUCGCUGGCACGCAAGUACGGCCUCUCCGCCGACAACGUCCUCGACGCCCUCGUCGUGGACACCGACGGAAGGCUGAUGAACAGGAGCACCAUGGGGGAGGACCACUUCUGGGCUCUCUGUGGCGGAGGCGGCGAGAGCUUCGGCGUGGUGCUGUCGUGGAAGGUGCGGCUAGUCCCCGUGCCGGAGACCGUCACGGUGUUCAGCAUCGUAAGGUCAAGGAGCCAAUCCGCCAUCGAACUGAUUACAAAAUGGCAAGAGAUGGCGCCGGCUUCACCGCAGGAGCUGUACCUCCGCGUGCUCGUGCUGAACCAGCAGGCUAAUUUCCAGGCGUUGUUUCUCGGCCGGUGCGGCGGCCUCCAUCGGCUCAUGCAAGAUCGCUUCCCCGAGCUCGGAAUGACGGAGCAAGACUGCGAGGAGGAGCCGAUUCCAAGGGACGUGUGGGAGAGCAUAUGGACGGCGUGGCUGGAGAAGCCCGAGGCCGCGCUGCUCAUGCUGGACCCUUACGGUGGCUUGAUGAGCAGCAUCUCGCCGUCGGAGACGCCGUUCCCGCACCGGCAGGGGAACCUUUACCAGCUCCAGUACUACUCCUUCUGGUACGAGAACGGGACGGCAGCAGCGGAGAAGCGAAUGAGCUGGGUCAGGGGACUGUACAAGGAGAUGGAGCCUUACGUGUCCAGCAACCCAAGGGCUGUGUACGUCAACUACAGGGACCUUGACCUGGGGACGAAUGAGUUGGACGGUGACGUGACGAGCUAUGACAAGGCUAGAGUCAGCUGGGGAGACAAGUAUUUCAAAGGAAAUUUUAAGAGGCUGGCAGCCGUGAAGACCAUGGUGGAUCCCCAUGAUUUCUUCAGAAAUGAGCAGAGCAUCCCUCCUCUUCCCGCUGCCAAAAUGAUAGAUUCCAUUUGA
This 1497-nucleotide ribosomal RNA is filed under the name Triticum aestivum (bread wheat). Its description in RNAcentral is "partial small subunit ribosomal RNA". The record is from RNAcentral. Lineage: Eukaryota; Viridiplantae; Streptophyta; Magnoliopsida; Poales; Poaceae.